ACCAUUAUAGUGUAAAUAACACAUUACAUUUUCAUUGUAAAAAUAUUAUUCAUAAUUAAAGGUG
RNAcentral lists this transfer RNA (64 nucleotides) under Campodea fragilis. Its description in RNAcentral is "tRNA-Glu". The record is from RNAcentral. Lineage: Eukaryota; Metazoa; Arthropoda; Diplura; Rhabdura; Campodeidae.